This is a long non-coding RNA of Leucoraja erinaceus (little skate), 1388 nucleotides long. RefSeq lists it as uncharacterized. The record is from RefSeq and is a predicted model, not a curated record. The transcript has 2 exons. Lineage: Eukaryota; Metazoa; Chordata; Chondrichthyes; Rajiformes; Rajidae.
AAGGAAUCUGAGUCCUGGAAGGAAACGAUUGCAAAACAUGUUUGGGAUAGGUGCAAAGCAUUGGAAUGUUGUUACAUCAAGAAGUGCUGUUGCAGCUCAAGCAUGAUACCACAAAAGCUGCUACUUUUUAAAGCAUUACCAAUAAAGAUCGUUAAAGUUGCUGCAUCGUUUUUAUUGUUACACCAACCUGCAAUAAACAAUUGCCGGCCGUCCUUUCCUCUGUUGCUUUUUAGUCGAGGCUGAGCCAAAUCAAUGGUUCGAGUGAUAAGAUUCCUCGUUUAACUGUCUUGUUGAAAUAUAUGCUUUCAAUGCCAAACCUUUGGUUUUCAAUGCAACAUGUUACUUUGUUUUAAAAGGGUUCCGGAGUAAUAUAUCAAUGGGGCAGUAGACCGAGUCAGUUUUCAAAUAUUUGUAUUUUAUUUUCAGACUGGACGUUUUUAAAUGCUAGCCUUCACCGGGUUUGCACGUUAUUGUUUCUAUCUCUCGGCUCGAUCUUUCCCAGAUAGGAUUGUAGUUUGUUUCAGCCUUUCCGCCCUUUUAUGCGUGGCAACUUCUAAAAAAAUCUGUUCUUAAAAUUCGAAGCAAUAUUUGCUGAAGCUAUUUGAAACACUUCGAUCAAUUGCUGGAUAAGAAUAUGUGCAGGACUUCUGGAAGAGAGGCAGGCAGUCAAGCUGAUCAGACGCUUUGCUGGCCCAGUACCCAGACCUGUGUGCAGAAAAGUACACAAUUGGGAUGUGGCAUUGAAAAGCAGGUCAGAUAUGGCAUGGACAAGAGAGUUCUGGAUGGGGGGACAGAUCAUGGAUCGGAAGGCUGUCAUUCCAGCAACCAGAUGCCAGAAAGGAACGAAUCAGAGAUUUGUGACGAUUAGAAGGGAAUCUUUCACUGAUUGUGGGGGGCAUUGAUAUGGGGUCCCUACAACUAAAAGUCGGGAUAUGGCAGGGUGACCCAGGAGCUUGUGAUCGGUUCUGAACUUUCUGUCCUGGGCCUCCUCCAUUGUCAUAGUAAGGUCAAACGCAAAUAGGAGGAACAGCAUCUCAUAUUUCGCUUGGGCAGCUUACAACCCAGUGGUAUGACUAUUGAUUUCUCUAACUUCAAGUAGCCCUUACAUCCCCUCCCCCCCUUUCCUUCCCUCUCCCACCCGUCAUACCAGCUUCAAAGAUCUUUUUGAAUCUCAUUGUCUAUACUCGUUUUCACCUAGACCACAGCUAACAAUGGCCUGCUUCCUUUAUCAUCGUUAUUCUUUUACAUAUUCUUUCUCUCUACAUCACCGUCUAUAUCUCUUGUUUCCCUUUCCCCUGACUAAGAAAGGUCUCGACCCAAAACGUCAACAAAUUUUGUUGUACAUGGUUCAUGUUACAAUGACAAUAAAGAAACUAUAUUCUAUUCUA